Molecule: long non-coding RNA, 2167 nt
Filed under: Glycine max (soybean)
Lineage: Eukaryota; Viridiplantae; Streptophyta; Magnoliopsida; Fabales; Fabaceae
Description: long non-coding RNA (GMAX_LNC000707)
Source: RNAcentral
UUAUAAUGGUAAAACGUUUGUCCAAGAAGAAGCUUCGUAGACAGGCAAACUUGAAAGAGAUCGCUGCGUGGUCUGGAUUGUACUGGUUCUGCAAAAGGGAAAUUGAGAAUGCCAUGAAUUAUGGCGGUGAAAAGAUAUGCCUUGGACGUGGGAGUGCAGGGCAGGUGUAUAGAGGUAUUCUCCCAAGUGGUCAACUCGUGGCCAUCAAGCAUUUAACAAAGAGUAACACCUCUGAGUCUUUCACUCGAGAAGUUGAAGGUCUUUCAAGGCUUCGCCAUCCUAACCUGGUUUGCCUCUUUGGAUGCUGCAUAGAAGGGGAUGAGAGAUAUUUAGUCUAUGAAUUCUGUGCAAACGGGAAUCUUGCUCAACAUCUCUUAAGUAAUGUUCUCUUUCCUUACCUCCACUCUUCAUUAAUCAUUUAACAUGUCUAAUGUAAAUAAUCACUUUUUAGUUACCUCUAUUUAGAUAUAGAUUUGACUUUAGCCUUCAUGAUUCUUUUUUAUGCAGUUUCAUAAAUGUUUUUGCCUUUUUUUUAUUGUUGCCUAAUUAAAAUUAGAGCUUCAUAUCAGUAAUUCUCCUUGACAUUUAAUGAAAUUGUUUACUAUGCGAAUUAUUGAGGUGAAACUUUAACUCUGAUUAGAUAACAACACCAAAAUCAAAAUCAGUAUUUCAUCCAAGUUUUGUCCUUCUUUUAUUUCCUUGGAGGGUUUUAUAUAUGCGUGUGUGAUUUUGUUCAGGAAGAGAUAGCCACUUGACAUGGGAAACCAGAGUAAGAAUUUUGAGAGAUUGUUCAUAUGCACUCAAGUACCUCCACCAUCAUAUAGAAGGCUGUGUUGUCCAUAGAGAUAUAAAGGUACGUACAUACAUGAUACAUGGUAUGAAAAUUUGGAUCUGUUGUAGCAUAUUAUGCACUUGAAAACAACAUGCAAAUAUAUUUAUAAUGUUUUCAGUUAGCCUUAUGGUAAUGCUUCUGACUGAUUUUAAAUUUUAGCUUACGAACAUUCUUUUGAAUGAGAAAUACCAAGCGAAACUGUCAGAUUUUGGACUGGCAAAAGUGAUGGGGAUUAAAGAGAGCAAGGUUUUUACUGAUGUUAGAGGAACAAUAGGCUACAUGGAUCCAGAGUACAUGAGUAAUGCCAAGCUAACCUGCGCUAGCGAUGUUUACAGUUUUGGUAUUGUUGCUCUACAAAUUCUGUCGGGACAGAAAGUCAUCGAGUUGGAUCUUGAUGCCAGAGAUCAACUCACUAGGAAGGUACUUGCACUUGCAGGGCAGACAGACAAGCAACAACAAAAAAUGUAUGCAUUAUACUUACAUGCCAUUCAACUCAAACUGAGAUAAUUUGAAUAUGGCUUUUGUAGGCAAGAGAUGUGAGCAUGGGAAAGCGUCCACUGUCAGAUUUUGAAGACCCGCGACUAAAUGGAAAAGUUGAUAAGACAGACUUCGAAGCCAUCCUUCAGAUUGCAGUUUUGUGUGUUGCCAAAUCAAGCAAAGGUCGUCCAACCAUUGAGCUUGUUUUUGAGGAAUUGGACAAGGUCUGCAGGGAUACAGAAACACGGAUGGUAUAUAUAUAUAUAUAUAUAUAUAUACACACUUAGUUACUCCUAAACUCAAUCAUAACUAUAGAGUUUGUUUAUAGUUGACAAAUGCUAGUUAAUUUUUAUUAGUGAGGGAUUCGAACACACUAUCUCUCCCCUUCUUUCUCUUUCUCUUUACCACUUUACCACUAAGUCAAUCUUAUAACUCCUAGUUUGUUUACAACUUAAUGUGCACAUGCAGGCCCUUUUCGUGCUAACCGUAGCUACGUGUCUAUCAAAUUGACAAUAGUUUGUUUUGUUUCUGCAGAAGCAAAAGAAGGAUGAGAGCUUAUCAACAACAUCCACCCCGAGCUCCAAAUCGUCAAAAUCGGCGCCUCUAUGACAUAAAGGAUAAUGCGCUGGUUGUUACAUACGAGUGUGAGAUGAAACUUGAAGAUGUAGUGUAAAUUGAAAUUAGAAGAUGAAGAUAUACAUUACAUCUAAUAAAUUGUUCACAGCAUAUAACUAUUACGACGGCACAAAAUUAGGAGUGUGGCGUACAUACAAAAAUUUCCCUUAUGGCUCUCUCUCGGUCAGAGAUCUGGAAUCCUCCUACAAAAGCUGUUCUGCUGGUCCAACAAAAUGAUUCAUG